This 468-nucleotide ribosomal RNA is filed under the name uncultured bacterium. RNAcentral describes it as "partial 16S ribosomal RNA". It matches the Rfam family "Bacterial small subunit ribosomal RNA", at positions 28 to 507 of the family's 1533-position model. The record is from RNAcentral.
GAUGAACGCUGGCGGCGUGCUUAACACAUGCAAGUCGAACGGUGAAGGCGGAGCUUGCUCUGCUGGAUCAGUGGCGAACGGGUGAGUAACACGUGAGCAAUCUGCCCCUGACUCUGGGAUAAGCGCUGGAAACGGCGUCUAAUACUGGAUACGAGCUGCGAAGGCAUCUUCAGCAGCUGGAAAGAAUUUCGGUCAGGGAUGAGCUUGCGGCCUAUCAGCUUGUUGGUGAGGUAAUGGCUCACCAGGGCGUCGACGGGUAGCCGGCCUGAGAGGGUGACCGGCCACACUGGGACUGAGACACGGCCCAGACUCCUACGGGAGGCAGCAGUGGGGAAUAUUGCACAAUGGGCGAAAGCCUGAUGCAGCAACGCCGCGUGAGGGACGACGGCCUUCGGGUUGUAAACCUCUUUUAGCAGGGAAGAAGCGAAAGUGACGGUACCUGCAGAAAAAGCGCCGGCUAACUACGUG